GUUGAGGUGUAGCCCAUCUUCCAGUGCUGCUUGGAGGCUUUUCAGUCCACCAGUUUGUAGAAUAUCUACGUUGACUGGUAGGAGAUAGAUGGUCCUUGAAGAUUUUGUAUUUCGGCUGCAGUAUGGAGAAGAGCACUCAGCUUUUUCGAGUGCUCUUUGUCGAGAUAAUGACAGAAUGAUCCACUGUCACAGAAUGCAGAGCAAAGGCACUGGCAAAAGGAAUCAAAGGCACAGGUUUAUGUCUGCAUGCAACCACUCAGAGCAAAGGGUCAGGUAGGACAGUCGCUUUUUUGGAGGAACACCGAGGCCUUUCCAGUUUUCAACAGG
This is a long non-coding RNA of Xyrauchen texanus (razorback sucker), 327 nucleotides long. RefSeq lists it as uncharacterized. The transcript has 3 exons. The record is from RefSeq and is a predicted model, not a curated record. Lineage: Eukaryota; Metazoa; Chordata; Actinopteri; Cypriniformes; Catostomidae.